CAACCAGUUUUAUUAUUGAAUGUAUGCAUAUAAAUGUAAAACAGAUACAUAUCCGGUCACCAUUUAGGUGUGAGUUGGAUGGAAUUUCAAAAACUGUGAUAUAUUACAAAAUCCCGCGAUAGGACAGAUUAUCUCGCGAGAUAGUGGUCACGUCACGCGUUCUUCCGGAAGUUCACAUUCAAACACGAGGAGCGAUUACGAGGGAGUUUUGUCUAUAUAUUAUGCAAAAUCUACUGUUGGUAGAAUCUCAUCCAAAUAAAAAUAAACAAACUAAAGGCACUGUGUCCUACACAGACCCUCCAAAAUAUAACCACCCAAAACCCAAGUCAGUUGAAGAUCAACACAAACCAAAUAAAGAUGUGCAUUCUACAAACAAUAACAAAAGAUCAAGUUUUGUGUCAAACACACUUAGAUGAGGCGUGCCCGAUCCCUGACUUUGUCUACCCUACAUUAAGUUGCACACUUCAUGACAGUAAACAUCGGUAUCAAGCUGGUGUGAUUGAUCUAUACUCUGGCCUAGAAUAAGCUGUGACACUAUGAGACGGUCACAUAAUGAACAGGCAUCUUACAGACAACCGAAAGAGGCAUACGUAUUCUCUACAAUCCCAAAUUCUGGAUUGACGCCCCAGUACCAGAGGGCACCCCAAUCCCAGAGAGCACGCCAAUCCCAGAGAGCAUCCAUCUGAAAGCAGGUGAUGAAUUUACUACUAAUCAAGGAACUGGCUUUACUGACGAGAUGCGCAUGAUAUCGCAUGCGAUUUAUCGUGCAGCCCUAGAUUUUACAUUAGUGACAACUCAUCUUAGAGGAUAAACAUGUACAUUUCUCUGAAUCUGAGUUAAUAGUUACAAAUACAGAGCUUAUAAUGUCUGUCAUUGCUCAACCACAAAGACCUAAAAGUACAGACAGCUAAUUUCAUAACUAAUGCAGUAUUACACUGUGAAGUUAUUUAUAUAUACUGUUAAAAUAUUACACUACCAUAUAAUUAACUCUAUUUGUCCAGGUGAGGUAACACAACGAAAAAAUAACAGGAUGGAGACUACCUGAUUCUUCACCUAUGGCCUCAGCUUCAAAUGCAAGAAGCAAGAAAUGCUAUAUGACUGUGUAUUUUGCAUUAUGAAUGCAUUAUGAAUACAUCAAAGAUGUUGAUAACAAGUUGAUCUGCGUAAAUUGUGACAUAAAGAAUAUGUAUAUAUAUUUCCAGCUAUCUUUCUAUAACAUUAUUUCAAUUGUUUUCACAUGUAGGUCCAGCAACUGUCUGAGUUGGUGGAUAUUCUGUCAGAGACUGCGUGAACAACGUUAUGAACAGAAUGAUGUCUAAUUGUCUUAUGGCCAAGUUCAAUAUGAGCGGUGGUGGACAUCUGGAAAAGAAGGCUUUUAAAGGCACACCUUUGUAUUAUGUUAUUCAAGAUGCUGUGAAGAGGUGGAGCCCAAAUGCCACAGACUCGGAAAUAGAUGCAGCUAUGGCAGACCACCUCAAGCACGCUCCAGGAAGAGCUGGGGGUUGUGAAAACACUAAAUAAGCCAAACAGCUGUAAUGUGUUAAAGAGAGAGUACACCCAAAAAUGAAAAUUGUUAUAAUUUUCUUACCCACAUGUUUCAAACCUGUAUACAUUUCUAUUUUCUGCUGAACACAAAGAUUGAAAAAUGUUUGUAACCAAGCUAACUGUCAAUAAUUUUUUUUUACAACUGUAGUAAUGGGUUGUGAGAUCUGCUUUCUGCUUUCUAUUCUUUCAAAUAUCUUUGUGUUCAGCAGAACAUAGAAAAGUAUACAGGUUUGAAACAUAAGAGAGAGUAAAUUGCUAAAUAAUCAAUUUUGGGUGAACUAUCCUUUUAUAUAGUAAAGUAUUUUGAAAUUGUUAUUAUAGUUAAACAGUUUAAAAAAAUAAAAAGUGCCAAAUCAGAA
Long non-coding RNA from Paramisgurnus dabryanus, 1904 nucleotides. RefSeq lists it as uncharacterized. Lineage: Eukaryota; Metazoa; Chordata; Actinopteri; Cypriniformes; Cobitidae. The record is from RefSeq and is a predicted model, not a curated record.